RNAcentral lists this ribosomal RNA (253 nucleotides) under uncultured bacterium. RNAcentral's name for it is "partial 16S ribosomal RNA". It matches the Rfam family "Bacterial small subunit ribosomal RNA", at positions 524 to 776 of the family's 1533-position model. The record is from RNAcentral.
UACGAAGGGUGCAAGCGUUACUCGGAAUUACUGGGCGUAAAGCGUGCGUAGGCGGUUUGUUAAGUCUGUCGUGAAAGCCCCGGGCUCAACCUGGGAAUGGCGAUGGAUACUGGCGAGCUAGAGUACGGUAGAGGAGAGUGGAAUUCCCGGUGUAGCAGUGAAACGCGUAGAGAUCGGGAGGAACAUCAGUUGCGAAGGCGGCUCUCUGGACCAGUACUGACGCUGAGGCACGAAAGCGUGGGGAGCAAACAGG